RNAcentral lists this long non-coding RNA (1509 nucleotides) under Parus major (Great Tit). RNAcentral's name for it is "lncRNA (ENSPMJG00000015470.1)". The record is from RNAcentral. Lineage: Eukaryota; Metazoa; Chordata; Aves; Passeriformes; Paridae.
AAACUGUUGAAAAGAUUUCCUUGUUCUUUUAUCUUUUGAAUCAGUGUCAUACUAACAAAAAGAUGUUUUGAAGUCUUUAACCAUUAAUUGACUAACUGGUUUUCUUUAGACAUAAAACUUGUCAAGGUCUUGAUUGUUGUGAAUCCAUGGUGAUAGAUUCUGGCUGACUGCCUAAGUACAAGGUCUCUGAACACUAGGAUAACACUUUCUGAAACAGUUGGGGCUUAUCCCCCAUAAUGCCAUUUAAACAAACUUAAUUGACUAAAACUUUCACUUCUGUGCAUUCUCUAUGAGGUACUAUUUGCAAGAAGAGGCCUUUUAGGAAUAGACCCUAAGUGACAAAAUCUGACCUCUACCUAGCCUUAGAUUUCUCAGUUCUUUUCUCAGUUUAUUUACACAAAAUAAACCAGUAUGAACUGCCUUAAAAAUUCACUACAAGCAAAGAGUCUCUCAUACAUCAUCUUUUUUCACUAUUCUAUUUCACUAUUAUUCUAACCUUAGAAUGAGUCCAAAUUGUGACUCUAUGAACAGCAUAGAAUUCACACACUUCUGCAGUAAGACUAAUCAUUAUCUUCAGAUUAGUGCCUAUGUAUGUCAGUCAGUAGGCUUAUUCUAUAUGAAAUGAAUAAAUAGUUUUAGACAAAGGUCUAAAACUUUUUUUUUUCCUUUUCUUUUUUUUUUUCCUGUUGUUAUUGCAGUGAAGCUUUAUUAAAGAGACACUGCUGGGAUAAUUUUCUUCAAUUUUGAUUUCUGGGCAUAUGCUGAACAUCUGUCUCUACAGAAUCAAGUCUACUGAGAGCAUACUGCACAAAGCUUAACAACACAAUUUCAGAACAGUAAAAGAAAAUGUUUUUGAAGGAAAAGUGUUUCUGCCAAUAAUGCUAGGGUGCUGAAAUGUACAGUGAUUUGUAUUUUGAUGUGCUGCAUCCAUACAACUGGAAAUUGGACAGAGUAAAAACUACUACUAAGAAAAUGCUCGAGACUGGCAAGAAGAAAGUAUCUGCCACCACUGAAAAAAGGAUGCCUAAUACUUAUAGAGCUCACUUUUAUGCAAAAUGAAAUGCCUUCAAAGGAGCAAAUGGAGAUUUCUCCCACAUCAGAAUAUCCGGUGACUGAGGAACCCAAAUAAGAAGUGAGGAUUGUGGGUUUCAAAUCUUUCAGAUCGGAGAAUUGAUGCAUAUUCCUCUGCCUCAAGACAAGUACUUCAAGCACAGAGAAAGAAAGCAGCAGAUGAUGGUAGUAGCUGUUCUUUCCUGGUAGGAAAAAAUACAUCUCCACAAAGAGAAGAUUAAGGGCUGUGAAUUGUACAAGAGGGGGGACAUUUCCCAGCAAGUCUGAGAUAGAUUGGUGUGCUUGAGAAUCUGGGCUGAUGCUUACUAACUUCAGUGAAAUUAAACCAUUACAUUGCAGCUGCAGUUUUAGAUCUUGUGAUGGCUGAAAGGGUGUUAGUAGUGGGAUCACCUCCCUUAGGAGCGAGUCCUAGCAUCUGAGCUGUCUGUCCCAGCUGAA